RNAcentral lists this ribosomal RNA (653 nucleotides) under Shigella dysenteriae. RNAcentral's name for it is "partial 23S ribosomal RNA". It matches the Rfam family "Bacterial large subunit ribosomal RNA", at positions 163 to 857 of the family's 2925-position model. The record is from RNAcentral. Lineage: Bacteria; Pseudomonadati; Pseudomonadota; Gammaproteobacteria; Enterobacterales; Enterobacteriaceae.
UCCAUAGGUUAAUGAGGCGAACCGGGGGAACUGAAACAUCUAAGUACCCCGAGGAAAAGAAAUCAACCGAGAUUCCCCCAGUAGCGGCGAGCGAACGGGGAGCAGCCCAGAGCCUGAAUCAGUGUGUGUGUUAGUGGAAGCGUCUGGAAAGGCGUGCGAUACAGGGUGACAGCCCCGUACACAAAAAUGCACAUAUUGUGAGCUCGAUGAGUAGGGCGGGACACGUGGUAUCCUGUCUGAAUAUGGGGGGACCAUCCUCCAAGGCUAAAUACUCCUGACUGACCGAUAGUGAACCAGUACCGUGAGGGAAAGGCGAAAAGAACCCCGGCGAGGGGAGUGAAAAAGAACCUGAAACCGUGUACGUACAAGCAGUGGGAGCACGCUUAGGCGUGUGACUGCGUACCUUUUGUAUAAUGGGUCAGCGACUUAUAUUCUGUAGCAAGGUUAACCGAAUAGGGGAGCCGAAGGGAAACCGAGUCUUAACUGGGCGUUAAGUUGCAGGGUAUAGACCCGAAACCCGGUGAUCUAGCCAUGGGCAGGUUGAAGGUUGGGUAACACUAACUGGAGGACCGAACCGACUAAUGUUGAAAAAUUAGCGGAUGACUUGUGGCUGGGGGUGAAAGGCCAAUCAAACCGGGAGAUAGCUGGUUCUC